UCGGAGUAAAAUAGUGAGAAACCGACAUGGAGAAGUGAUCGACCCUUGGGAUAAGUUUAAAUUUGCUUUUUUUUACUCCAUAAAUUUUUUACGUGGGUAAAAAGAUUCUUCUUGGGGUAUAAAAAAAAUAAAAUUUAAAUUUAGCCCAACGGUUGAUGAUGUAUUUUUCCCAUGAAGGCUGCUCACUAUUUUACCCCAU
Molecule: microRNA precursor, 199 nt
Filed under: Medicago truncatula (barrel medic)
Lineage: Eukaryota; Viridiplantae; Streptophyta; Magnoliopsida; Fabales; Fabaceae
Description: MIR2670 microRNA precursor family
Rfam family: MIR2670 microRNA precursor family
Source: Rfam by way of RNAcentral